ACUCAAAGGAAUUGACGGGGACUUGCACAAGUAGUGGAUUAUGUGGCUUACAAUUCGAUGAUAAACGAAGAACCUUACCAGGGUUAGAAAUCUAGUUGACGCCUAGAGGAAACUUUAGGCUUCCGCAAGGACAAUUAGACAGGUGAUGCAUGGUCGUCGUCAGUUCGUGGUUUGAACUGUUCCCUUAAGUGGGGUAACGAACGCAACCCUCGUUGGCUGUUACAAGUGUCAGCUGAGACUGCCCCGUGAAAUGUGUCUGUUUUAAAAAAACGGACCCAUCUCACGGGGAGGAAGGUGAGGAUGACGCCAGAUCAGCAUGUCCCUCUGAUACCCUGGGCUGCACACAUAAUACAAUCGCCGCUACAACAGGUUCCGAUAUCGUAAGAUGGAGGCAAUCCUUAGAAAAGCGGCGCCAGUUCGGAUUGAAGUCUGCAACUCGACUUCAUGAAGCCGGAAUUACUAGUAAUCGCAGGUCAGCUAUACUGCGGUGAAUACGUUCUCAAGUCUUGUACACACCGCCCGU
Molecule: ribosomal RNA, 523 nt
Filed under: uncultured bacterium
Lineage: Bacteria
Description: partial 16S ribosomal RNA
Rfam family: Bacterial small subunit ribosomal RNA
Source: RNAcentral